UUGGUGGUUUCAUUUCAAAGCCUUUCGAUGAUAUCUAACUUGAUAGUCGAUGGACAUAGAAAGAUGGAGUUCAGUGGAGGCUUUAGCUCAACAAAUUUCAUGGUUGUAUAUGAAGAACAAUUUUUGUUUCCAUUGGAAUAUUGGUAAUGUUGAGAAAAUUACAGAAAAGAAAAGAAACAUGCGGUUUUAUAUUUGGGUUGGGAAAGAAAGAAAAAUUGAAGUAAAUGGAAACAAUAAAAAAAUAAAAUUUAAUUAAUGAAUAAUUAAUAAACAUUAACAAUUUUAAUUUCUUUUUUCCAUAAAUUUUUAAUUUCCAUUAAAAUUAUUAAUUCAGUUUUAAUUUAAUUUUUUUAUCCUAUGUGGGACUCAUUAAAUUGAUUUUAGGCAUAGUUUUAGCAUGGAUUUUUCUAUAAUUAGAGUUAAUAAUUUUUUUUAGGUAUGUAUUUUGCUUUACUAAAGGAUAAAAUUUUGCAUUUUGCUUAAUUAGAGGCUACAAUUUUGCAUUCAAUUGAAAAAUAGAUCAUGGUAUUAUUUUUUUGUUGAUGAUUGAUGAGAAUGUGAUAAUACCAUGAAACUGAAUUUUCGAACAGAA
RNAcentral lists this unclassified non-coding RNA (592 nucleotides) under Hevea brasiliensis (rubber tree). The record is from RNAcentral. Lineage: Eukaryota; Viridiplantae; Streptophyta; Magnoliopsida; Malpighiales; Euphorbiaceae.